RNAcentral lists this ribosomal RNA (218 nucleotides) under uncultured bacterium. Its description in RNAcentral is "partial 16S ribosomal RNA". It matches the Rfam family "Bacterial small subunit ribosomal RNA", at positions 524 to 738 of the family's 1533-position model. The record is from RNAcentral.
UACGUAGGGUGCAAGCGUUGUCCGGAAUUAUUGGGCGUAAAGAGCUCGUAGGCGGUCUGUCGCGUCUGCUGUGAAAACUCAGGGCUUAACCCUGAGCUUGCAGUGGGUACGGGCAGACUAGAGUGCGGUAGGGGAGACUGGAAUUCCUGGUGUAGCGGUGAAAUGCGCAGAUAUCAGGAGGAACACCCGGUGGGCGAAGGCGGGGUCUCUGGGCCGUA